AAUGGCGAUCAUUGGCUCCUAUUUCCCCAUGAGACUGGCGGACAUUGCUCCUAUUCACCUGACUCAACAUAUAUAUGCUCCUCGCGGAUCUACAAAAUCCAAACUGAAAAUCAGCAGAUCAAUAGAAGGACACCAAGUAAAAGGUACUGAGUUUAGCAAGGAUUUUUUUGAUGAGCAGUGUAAAGAAACAAGCUCCAAUUGUAUCGGAGAGGCAGUAGCAUAAUUGAUUUGAGAGAGGAAAACUCCGAUCGCACAUCAUACAGCUUACUCAAAAGUAAGGUAUCUUUAAUAAUGAAAAUAUUAUACAAUAUGAAUUCAUAUUAAUAUUGAAACAAGAUGUUGAUGACAUAUCUAUCACUCAAGAACAUUAAAUAAAAAGAUUGAAGAACUACAAGCCAGUGAACAUGUCAAGGUUGUAACAUAGACCCGAGUCUCUAUGUGAGUCACGUAGGAUGUUUCAGAUCACAAGGCCUAUUAUUUCACCAAAGCAAUGGUACGUCUUAUUAACACAAACAAGACUAAGUAAUUGAAAAUGAUAGAAGGGCAGCCCGGUGCAAUAGACUCCUGUGGUCUGGCCCUCUUUCCCCGACCCUACGCAUAGCUCUCUGUGACCUUGGAAUAACUGAUAAUGUUGUUGUCAUGUGACCAAGGAGGUCACGGGUUCAAGUCUUGGAAACAGCCUCUGGCAGAACUGCAAGGUAAGAUUGUGUACAAUACACCCUUGUGGUGGGGCCCUUCCCCAAACCCUACGCAUAGCUACGAUGCUUCACACUGCAAUCUUUUCUUUUGGAGAAAUGACAUUCGCUUUGGUGCUUAAGAAGCAACCUAUGAUGAUAUUCUCUUGUUUUUUCUCUUUUUUCAUUUUUUUUUGGUUCCUUUCUUAACUUGUAAAGUUGAGUAUGUCGCAGUUGCCUAAUGUGUUAGUCAUACAAUGUGGUGUUGGAAGUUGAUAAAGAUGCUACAAGAGCAAGCUACUAUUGAUAAUAUUGCGUCUUACUAAGAAGUACCAUUGCUUUGGUGAAAGAAUGGUCCUUAUGAUGUUAGGAUCGAUACAAUAUUCAAAAUCCAAAAACUAAGUAAAGUAACCCUAAAAUGUUUCUUAUAUAGUGUAUUUCAAAUAGAAGGCAAAAAGUCCAAAAUGUCCCUUAGAGAUUAGGUGCCCCUCUAGUGUGAAUUAGUGGCACAUGGACGAAUUCAAUACACAUCCUCAUAAGUCCAUCUACGUUGUAUCAGCGAUUCUAAUAAGGAAAAUAUCAUUUCGUGCAUUUGUUGUUUCUGAUGCCAUUGCCUUCACAUGCUCAGCUAUUCCCAUAUUCAUCUACUUCCUCGUGGCACUCAUGGCAGAUACAAGCACAAGUCCUCUAAUAUUAAAAUUUUAGAGAAGGUUUAUGAUCUCGCAAGUAAAUGUCUGUCCUUGUCAAUGUUAGCUGUUGUAAUUGCAUUCGCAAUGGGUAUGUUUGCUACUUUAUCACAUUCACUUGGUCUUGCCGUUACUGUCUGUUAUUUAUAUGGGAAGCUUUGUAAUCAGAGACAUCAUUGCUAGAUUCGACUUGCAUCUUAGAUCCUAAAGUGUGAAUUGGGAAAGUAGCUUAGUGAUUAGGUGGUACAGCUUAGGCCACGUGUCCAUGUGGCAGCCAUUGGAUGAGAUGAAAUAAACGUACGAGAUGAUGAGUGACAGCUGGAUCAGGCCUAAGCGGUUAUAUCAACACAAGUGGAGCUGAGCCACUGAACUAUUAUCAAUAAAAUUCCAAUUCUGUUCGGCUGAAUCUUCGAUUCGAUUAAGAUUUAAGGGACAUAAUAACAUUGUACUUAUUGCUUGCAAAUAUAGAAUUCAACUAUGUUUUUUUAAUCCA
Molecule: long non-coding RNA, 1853 nt
Organism: Capsicum annuum
Lineage: Eukaryota; Viridiplantae; Streptophyta; Magnoliopsida; Solanales; Solanaceae
Exons: 2
Source: RefSeq, a predicted model, not a curated record